Molecule: unclassified non-coding RNA, 523 nt
Filed under: Boronia humifusa
Lineage: Eukaryota; Viridiplantae; Streptophyta; Magnoliopsida; Sapindales; Rutaceae
Description: partial external transcribed spacer
Source: RNAcentral
GUGCAUCGAACUGCUGACGCUCCAUCCCAUUCAGUCCCUUGUCCAAAUGAAACAUCAUCUUGUGGGCUAAUGAGGUAUCUUGUGUUGCUUACCAAUGGAAUGGAAAUCGUUGGCUUUGUUACGUGAAUCCACCUUAAUGCCCYUAUUGGGAUUGARGUGGACAUGAGGCGAGCUCUGUGUUCCCAGCAUACAAGCACUUUGGUGAUUGCAUGUUGUGGCCCAUGGUGUCUUCGCUUGUUCUCUUGGAUACAGAAUGCUACGUGUGGGCUUGUGAGGUCUUGACCCCAACUCGUCAAAGCACUAUCUUUUUACUCGAAUGAUUGUCGAACUUGUCUUGAUCUUCCCGACCGAGGCCUCKUAAUGGGGCUUACCGGACGAGGGUUGAACAUGCAGGUGUUGGCAUCAGAGAGGAAAGAGUAUCGAAUGACUGUCGUACUUGUCUUGAUCUUCCCGACCGAGGCCUCGUAAUGGGGCUUACCGGAUGAGGGUUGAACAUGCAGGUGUCGGCAUCAAAGAGGAAUGU